UACGUAGGGGGCGAGCGUUGUCCGGAAUUAUUGGGCGUAAAGAGCGUGUAGGCGGUUCGGUAAGUCUGCCGUGAAAACCUGGGGCUCAACCCCGGGCGUGCGGUGGAUACUGCCGGGCUAGAGGGUGGUAGAGGCGAGUGGAAUUCCCGGUGUAGCGGUGAAAUGCGCAUAUAUCGGGAGGAACACCAGUAGCGAAGGCGGCUCGCUGGGCCAUUCCUGACGCUGAGACGCGAAAGCUAGGGGAGCGAACAGG
RNAcentral lists this ribosomal RNA (253 nucleotides) under uncultured bacterium. Its description in RNAcentral is "partial 16S ribosomal RNA". It matches the Rfam family "Bacterial small subunit ribosomal RNA", at positions 524 to 776 of the family's 1533-position model. The record is from RNAcentral.